CAAUAGCGUAUAUUAAAGUUGUUGCAGUUAAAAAGCUCGUAGUUGAACUUCAGGCUUGGCGGGGUGGUCUGCCUCACGGUAUGUACUACCCGGCCGAGCCUUACCUCCUGGUGAGCCUGCAUGCCGUUUAUUCGGUGUGUAGGGGAACCAGGAAUUUUACUUUGAAAUAAUUAGAGUGUUCAAAGCAGGCAUAUGCCCGAAUACAUUAGCAUGGAAUAAUAGAAUAGGACGUGCGGUUCUAUUUUGUUGGUUUCUAGUAUCGCCGUAAUGAUUAAUAGGGACGGUUGGGGGCAUUAGUAUUCAGUUGCUAGAGGUGAAAUUCUUAGAUUUACUGAAGACUAACUACUGCGAAAGCAUUUGCCAAGGACGUUUUCAUUAA
RNAcentral lists this ribosomal RNA (379 nucleotides) under uncultured eukaryote. RNAcentral describes it as "partial 18S ribosomal RNA". It matches the Rfam family "Eukaryotic small subunit ribosomal RNA", at positions 592 to 976 of the family's 1831-position model. The record is from RNAcentral.